This 253-nucleotide ribosomal RNA is filed under the name uncultured bacterium. RNAcentral's name for it is "partial 16S ribosomal RNA". It matches the Rfam family "Bacterial small subunit ribosomal RNA", at positions 524 to 776 of the family's 1533-position model. The record is from RNAcentral.
UACGGAGGGUGCAAGCGUUAUCCGGAUUCACUGGGCUUAAAGGGUGCGUAGGUGGGCAGGUAAGUCAGUGGUGAAAUCUCUGGGCUUAACUCAGAAACUGCCAUUGAUACUAUCUGUCUUGAAUACCGUGGAGGUCAGCGGAAUAUGUCAUGUAGCGGUGAAAUGCUUAGAUAUGACAUAGAACACCAAUUGCGAAGGCAGCUGGCUGGGCGAAUAUUGACACUGAUGCACGAAAGCGUGGGGAGCAAACAGG